This is a non-coding RNA of Arachis ipaensis, 377 nucleotides long. The record is from RefSeq and is a predicted model, not a curated record. Lineage: Eukaryota; Viridiplantae; Streptophyta; Magnoliopsida; Fabales; Fabaceae.
UGUUCCUCGUCCCGAACCUCUAUGGCUUCUAUUCUAUUAUAUGUUUCUAAGGUUCUUGCAACGUUAAUGCUUUAGGUUUGAGUUCGGUUCUUACGUGCCGUGAUUAAAGUUGCUGUGGUUGAGGUUGUGUUGUUGCGGGCUGUGAGAAAAAGAGUUUCUGUCGCGUGGUUAAGUCGUAUUCGAGUUUUUUCCCUUUUCAGGAUAUGGGUGAUGGAGUUUCAGGAGAGUUAUAUUUAUUUUCUGUUUAUUCGACAUUAUUUUGUAUUAUCUUAGUUUUAUGUUUCCCUUGCCUUUAAUUUUGCAAGUCUUCACAAGAGGGAUAGGAUUUUGAUUAUGCAAUGCUUGUAAUAUUAAUAAUAUGUAGAUAUAUGUAUAUG